Molecule: long non-coding RNA, 400 nt
Organism: Homo sapiens (human)
Lineage: Eukaryota; Metazoa; Chordata; Mammalia; Primates; Hominidae
Gene: E2F3-IT1
Product: E2F3 intronic transcript 1
Source: Ensembl
CAGAGUCCAAGAGAAAUGCCCUGCCCAGGGUCUGGCAGAACUGAUGGAGAGCAGCCUUCGUGGCUACCACCUUCCCAUAAAGUCUGUGCUCUCCAGCGGCGCUUGGUAAUAAGAUUUAUUUAAUGACACGUGUAACUCUAAGACUAUUUGUGAUGGCGAAUACCACAGAUUUGACUGGGUUUGAGUUUUGAUUAUAGACUUCGAUGGAGAAAGCAAUGGCGCCACAACCCAGCCAGGGUGCCCUGCCAGGACUUCCUCAUCUCUUGCAGUGAAACCCCCUUAUCAAACAUUACGUGCUAUCUGGCCCCCUUUGUCAUACUUUCUUGCACUCCACUUACUACAUAUCAAGGAUUUGCCAUGUUGUGGAAAAGUUGGUUUCAUAACAUAUUUUGAACUCUUA